CCUACGGGUGGCAGCAGUGGGGAAUAUUGGGCAAUGGGCGCAAGCCUGACCCAGCAACGCCGCGUGAAGGAAGAAUGCUUUCGGGUUGUAAACUUCUUUUCUCAGGGACGAAUAAAGUACCGUUACCUUAGAAUUAAGCCACGCCUAACUACUUGCCAGCAGCCCCGGUAUUCCGUAGGUGGCAAGCGUUAGCCGGUUUUCUGGGGUGUAAAGGGCUUGUAGGCGGUAGCGCAAGUCAGAUGUGAAAACUCAGGGCUUAACCCUGAACCUGCAUUUGAAACUGUGUUUCUUGAGUGCUGGAGAGGCAGACGGAAUUCCGUGUGUAGCGGUGAAGUGCGUAGAUAUAAGGAGGAACACCAGUGGCGAAGGCGGAUUGCUGGACAGUAACUGACGGUGAGGCGCGAAAGCGUGGGGAGCAAACAGGAUUAGAUACCCGUGUAGUC
Molecule: ribosomal RNA, 443 nt
Filed under: uncultured bacterium
Lineage: Bacteria
Description: partial 16S ribosomal RNA
Rfam family: Bacterial small subunit ribosomal RNA
Source: RNAcentral